AUUCCACUCGCAGUGGGCUCGGCUCAAAUGUCAAACGCUACUAUUUCGUCAACAGAGUCGUGGCGCGAUAGUUGGAUUUUAUGAAAUAACAACAAAUAUUUACUUCACCAGUGUUUGACGGACAAUGGAUAAUAAAGUUUAGAAGUCAGUAUAUUUUUUGCGCUUCAGUACUGAGUAACGUGUCGCGGUAUUCUGACGAAUGUAUCAAGAAAUUAUUGCGAUUUCUAUGCAUACCUAUUGAUUUUUGUACUUCGCCGGUUUUGUAAGACUGUCAUGAAGCCUUUAAUAUUAUCGAAUCAUUUAAUUCACUAAGUUAUCGGUGCGACGUGUUUAAGUUCAUUAUUAAUCUAAAAAUUGUGUGAAAAAUACAACAUCGUCAGGUCGUAUUGUGAAACGACGUGGGAAAAAAUACUAUUCCGUAAGGACAUCAUGGAGAAAGUUGAAACUGCGUUGGAUGUAUUAUCGCGAGCCGCAACAAUGGUGCAGCCUUCUCCAGCAUACCCAGCCAGCGAUUCAGACAGUUUUGAGACGCCGUCGACCGCGUCGAGCGGGGAAUCGGAAGGCGAUCGAACGCUGUCUCCCGAAGGACCCCGGUCUCAAACCAAAGAAAUGACGGGGGAAAUGGCGACAGGAACGGCGCAUGACACGAUUGCCUGAAUAUAGACCUAGGGAGAAUUGCAAGAUGGCGCUACGCUCGCAGUCGUUCAACGAGAGACGCAGCGUGGCGUCGGUGACGCGCGCACAGCCGCAUAGCGAUGGCGAGCUCUCCGACGAGACCGAGGACACUCCCGCCAACUUGGCUUUAAAUGGAAAACGCACACCACCUGAAUACCCUGGGAACAAACACGAGGCUCCAAUCGACAUGAGGUUGAGGUCCCGGCCCGCUCCGCCGCCUUACAGCAGACCUUCAGUCAUAACCAAGAGCAACGAUGCACUACCUGGUUCAAUGUCUAUGUGCGAUCCAGUAAUCGACGAGCAUUUCCGAAGAUCUCUUGGCGACGAUUACAUGAACUUAUUCAAGAAAAACGCAGAAGACGCUCAACCCGGCCCCAAACCCAACACGAAAGACAGAGCUAGCAGCCCCAUACAGUUUAAAACAGAAGAACCGCAUAAACCACCAAAAAUAAUCGCAAUGGAUGUAGACGACGCCAGUCUGUCAGUAGACGAUCACUUCGCCAAAGCACUAGGUGAUACCUGGAGACAAAUACAAACCUCAAGGUUAAAGGAUAAUGAAAAAGGACAACCGAGCAAAGGAGGUGUCGACGAUCACUUCAGCAAAGCCCUCGGAGACACGUGGAAGAAAAUUCAAUCCUCCAAACUAAACUUAGAAGCAGAUAAUGACAAACCAAAAGAUCAGACGGCGAAGAUCAUAACAAGGAGCGGCGUCGUAAUAUAAUAACGGCAGAUAAGCCCCUGGGUGGUUCAGUUUACGGUCUUGUAAAAUUUACGAGCCAUUUUCAUGAUGCUAACUGGAGUGUCAAUAAAUUCCCACUUGUUUAACAUAAAGAACGCUAUAAUAUUAUUAAUGGGUACGAAUCGAGUGCCAGUCUUAACGUUUAUUUUCGUAUUUAGAAUCCAUGACAGUUCUGUUACCUUUAAGGUUUUGGGUAAUAUUUUUGAAAUGUUAUUUAAUUUUAUGUUUACUAUAUUAUAUGAAUAGUCAAUUAGUAGUCACCAGUUACACAUUGUAAGUUAUUACCUCAGUACGAGCGAUUUUGCACAAUACACUAGACUAAGUUACAAAUAGAAUAUUAUGUGUUGUAAAUAAAUAUUGUGACGGUGAUAGCGUGUGCGAUGUUUGGAGAGGUGUUCGUAUCACUAAUUUUAUUUUAUGUUCUUAUGUUUAAUAUCAAAAUGUUCCUCACGUUAAAUGUAUAUAGGUGUUCAGACAAUGAAUGCGCGAUGUGACAACGCCCUGUACUAUAUUAAAUAUUGUACAAGAGUGUAAACAUAAAACUUAAUACUCUGCAUGGUUGUACAGAAACUUCCUUGUGUAUUAAUUUCACUUUACAAAUAUUAAGCUUUUCGAUAUGUUCAUAAUUAAGUAUUCCUUUUAUGUAGGAAAAAGUAAAGAAAUGUGAAUUUAUCCUUAUUGAAUUCUGAGUUCUGUUUU
RNAcentral lists this small RNA (2113 nucleotides) under Manduca sexta (tobacco hornworm). Its description in RNAcentral is "uncharacterized LOC115441089". The record is from RNAcentral. Lineage: Eukaryota; Metazoa; Arthropoda; Insecta; Lepidoptera; Sphingidae.